AAGGAGUCUUGCCCUGUGAAGCUGAUAACACUCUAGAAUAGUUCUUUCAGGUAAAUGUAAUCUUCCAUCUUAUAAUUUGUAGGUUUCAAUUCCAUCUUAAUGUUACGAGUUACUGUAGUUUCUGAUCCAUAGAUUGAUGUAUCUAUCUGCUGUUGUAGUUCAUUUGGGAUUCAAGCUGCUAACCAAGAUCUUGUACAGAAAUUCCAACAGUUAAUUACUCUUAUUAAACAAUUGGAAUUACAAAAGCUAUUUAAACUAGAUUACUAUUAAAACACCCUUGCAAGAAUUCCCACUAUUUGGC
RNAcentral lists this long non-coding RNA (301 nucleotides) under Arachis ipaensis. RNAcentral describes it as "long non-coding RNA (AIPA_LNC001384)". Lineage: Eukaryota; Viridiplantae; Streptophyta; Magnoliopsida; Fabales; Fabaceae. The record is from RNAcentral.